This is a long non-coding RNA of Oreochromis niloticus (Nile tilapia), 1983 nucleotides long. The record is from Ensembl. NCBI's taxonomy places the organism in Eukaryota, Metazoa, Chordata, Actinopteri, Cichliformes, Cichlidae.
UCUACACUUACAACAUUUGCAUGUGUCAAUUAGCAAAUUGAGUCAGUUAUGAAUGGUAGUAAUUCACAGUCAGAGCAGAAAGAAUAUGUUGGUGCACACACUUUAAAGAGUGAAGUAACUGUUUAACUGCAUGGGCAUAGAUGCAGGUUUGUCAUUUACAUUACUAUCUAACCAAAUGUGGGCAGAGAUAUAACCUGAAGCUCGUCUAUCUGCUGAAUCCACAGUGAACUUCAUUUCAGCUGCACUUCACAGAGCGUCACAGCUAUGUUGAAACUCAGUGGAUUUUGGCUUAUUGUUCAGCUGUCUCUGGCAGCAGGAAUAAACUCUGACUGGAAUGUUCAAAGGAAUCAAUCCACCUUCAUUCCAGAACACUGGGAAAAUGACACAAAAUACAGCCAUCAAACGAUAGUAAUCAUGGAAGAGGAACCUGCAGUGAUUGAGUCAGCCACUUACCUGUUCCAGAAGCAUCCCAGUUCAUCAAAUCUGCUAAUGUACCAUAAGAGGGCACUGUACGUUCUGCAAGGAAGCAAUUUGUUUUCGACUAGAAAUCAUGACAUUGUACUGGUUGGCCAUGGUAGUCAAAGCCCUACUGGAGCAGCCCAGUUGGCUGGUUAUGACCCAAAGGAACUUGCCAGAUUUGUUUUCACCUUAAAAACUAAAACAAACAUUGGUCAUCUUGGCACCAUCAGCCUCAUAAGCUGCAAUGUUGGAAAUGACCAACACUUCAUGUUGCAGUUCCUACAAAGUCUCCGGUCUUUUAGUGUGGAAACAAAGCUCAACCUAUACAACACACUCCUGUCAGUUAAUUCUGAUGGUGAUAUACUGACGACAACUAACGGUGUCUGGAGGUCCCAUGAGCACUACAGCACAGUCAUAGCUGAACUAAACCAAAGAGGUGAUCUGGUGAUAAAAAAGGAACUUGGCUGUCCAGGACCAGUAUUUCACAAUUAUAAAGGAAAUAUUUUGUAUCUGCAGACACUGGACUGGCCAAGCCACCCUCAAAUGUUUGUUCCAAUGGAACUGCGCAAAAAGUAUCACUUUAUCGACUGCCUGGAGGGGCUGACUUGGAGCUUGUUUUUUGAGGAAAACGAAAGAAGGCGUGCUCCUGAUUAUACCACAGAUGAUUCAAGACACCUAAAAGCAAUUUGGCUAGAAAAGCCAACGGCAGGAGAAGACAACAUUAUCCUGAAGCAUAUCAUAAGCAUUCAACAUCUGCUAGUGGAGAUACGGUACAAUGCCAGAGAAGAAAUUGCAUCGGACCUUUACUACAUUCUCAAUGAAUGCAUUUACAAAGUAAAUGGGAAAACUCUGAAUGUAACUCUGGCGGGAAAAUUCAUGAAUCCUGACAAUCAAGUGGAAAUUCAAAAUUUUCUUCAGAGCUUUAAGGACCAGCAGGACGAGUCCUCCCUGGAGAAGCUGAGAGAGGGUCUCAAACCAUCAAAAUUCAAUGACUUCUGUCGCCAAACCUUCCAGUUUCAGCAGUGUAAUUACAACUGUGAGAGAUGGGGUCAUUAUUUUAUGGCAGCUGUGUUUUCAGCAUCGGUGCGUAACUUCAGAACCUUCUCACUUUUCCUUAUGACUGUCAUUGGUUGUGAAGUAGGCCAUUCACGAGGAAGUGACAGUCCCUUGUGCACAGCAUUUGUGAGGGAUGACCACCCAAUGAUAACCGAUCAACCCUGGCCUGAACAUCUGAAACGAGGAUUCUAUGGCUGUGCCGUCGACAACUUUGAAAUGGCACCACAGAACAUGCAGAUUUGGUUAGAUCAAGUUGUUGCAAAGGAAAAUGCACUGUACAUUAAAUCAAAGCAGAUUAUGAGUGCUAUUAACCAUGAUGAGCAAACAGAGCUAGAUAUCUUUGGGAGGGUUAAAGUCAUGAAUAAGUACGCAUUUUCAUCUUAUCUUGAAUUCUUCCGAGGUACGCCCGAGGGGAAAAAACUCAAAAGAGGAUGUGCACCUUCUUUGCAUGGGAAUAUGAAUCUGUAA